This 253-nucleotide ribosomal RNA is filed under the name uncultured bacterium. Its description in RNAcentral is "partial 16S ribosomal RNA". It matches the Rfam family "Bacterial small subunit ribosomal RNA", at positions 524 to 776 of the family's 1533-position model. The record is from RNAcentral.
UACGUAGGGUGCGAGCGUUGUCCGGAAUUAUUGGGCGUAAAGGGCUCGUAGGCGGUCUGUUGCGUCGGGAGUGAAAACUCAGGGCUUAACCCUGAGCCUGCUUCCGAUACGGGCAGACUAGAGGUAUGCAGGGGAGAACGGAAUUCCUGGUGUAGCGGUGAAAUGCGCAGAUAUCAGGAGGAACACCGGUGGCGAAGGCGGGUCUCUGGGCAACAACUGACGCUGAGGAGCGAAGGCGUGGGGAGCGAACAGG